Non-coding RNA from Fundulus heteroclitus (mummichog), 427 nucleotides. The record is from the annotation of a RefSeq genome assembly. NCBI's taxonomy places the organism in Eukaryota, Metazoa, Chordata, Actinopteri, Cyprinodontiformes, Fundulidae.
GUGACAAUACACACUGUAGUUUAGCAGGAUGGACUGUAGAAUAGGGAUACUGGUUGCAGUAGCCAUCUGUUGGACAGGUAUUGAUGGUCAGACUCUGACAGAAUCUGAACCAGCGGUUAAAAAGCCAGGAGAGUCUCACAAACUGACCUGUACAACGUCUGGAAUCUCAUUUAGCAGCUACUGGAUGGCCUGGAUCAGACAGGCUCCUGGGAAAGGACUGGAAUGGAUUGCAAUUAUUGAGUAUGACAGUGCUAGAAAGUUUUAUUCUCAGUCAGUCCAAGGCCGGUUUACCAUCUCCAGAGACAACGGCAGAGAGCAGCUGUAUCUGCAGAUGAACAGCUUGAAGACAGAAGAUUCUGCUGUUUAUUACUGUGCUCGAGAGACACAGUGACCGAGUGAAACUGAACAGCUGUACAAAAACCACUGC